UACGGAGGAUCCGAGCGUUAUCCGGAUUUAUUGGGUUUAAAGGGUGCGUAGGCGGGAGAUUAAGUCGGUGGUGAAAUUUUGCAGCUCAACUGUAAAAGUGCCUUCGAAACUGGUUUCCUUGAGUGUGGAUGAAGUAGGCGGAAUUUGUGGUGUAGCGGUGAAAUGCAUAGAUAUCACGAGGAACUCCGAUUGCGCAGGCAGCUUACUAAACUACUACUGACGCUCAGGCACGAAGGCGUGGGGAUCAAACAGGAUUAGAUACCCCUGUAGUCCCU
This 275-nucleotide ribosomal RNA is filed under the name uncultured prokaryote. RNAcentral describes it as "partial 16S ribosomal RNA". It matches the Rfam family "Bacterial small subunit ribosomal RNA", at positions 524 to 798 of the family's 1533-position model. The record is from RNAcentral.